CUUUCAUUCACCUGAAACCGAAUACGAGAAGAAAAAAAAUAAAAGCAGAGGCAGAGAUGAAAGCAGCAGAGAUGAUCGGGUUGAAGAGAGGAACAACAAAACCCUAACUCCAAUUACUUAUCAAACCCUAACUGCAAUCUCCAAUUCAAACUAAACCCAUGUCUUACAGCCACAUGAACUCUUAGGUUCAGUCUUAAUUUUCUCUAAUUCCACUCAAUACUCUUAGAUUCAUUCUUAAUCUUCUCUAAUUCCAUUCAAUAAUCCAUGGCAGUGACAUCUUCUUCAUCUUUGCUCAAAUCCAUCUAAACCCAUCUACGAUUCAUUAGUAAAUACUGUGAGAUCUCAAGAAGCUCGAUCAGAAACCAAAUUUAAAAUCAGAAAGACGAUGCUGAAGAAGAGAAGAAGAAGCUAAAGAGGAAGACAGUAGUCUGGAUAAAAAAUGUUAUCCAGACAAUAGUUAGGAUAAAAAAUGUUAUACCUUUACGGUAGUUCAGUUAAGUUAUUUCUAAUUUAGAAGUGGAAUGUGCUAACAAAUUGCAUUUAAAGCUUGCUCUUUGAGAAGGGGGAUGAGAUUCAGGUCAUGCAGGAAAUGGUUGCAGGUGCAAAGAGUGGCAUAACAAAUGAUUCUCCUAUAGUCGGUAUUAAGUUCUAGAAUCUGGCUCCAGAACAUGAACAACUUCAACUUCAGAGGGUUGUUGAUGAAGGAAGUAGUAGGUCUUUAUUCUCUCCCCGCCUGGGUAUCUGAAAAAUGAAAAUGAUGUUGACUCUCAGAAAAUCAGACUGAACGGAGUGGUAUUGAUGGACUCAUUGGGUUCCCUGGAUUAAGACUUGGUAGCAAUCAAAAGAGCUUCGGUGAUAUCUUCACAGAAAUUCUUGGUUCCGGCCUUCCGUAGUGUACGGGUUCACUAAAUGGUGCUUACAACUCCACGAACCAGAAGUGUUAUGCACAUGGAAACUCCGACAGGGCAUUCCAAAAAUUCCUGUGUUACCCGAGAUCUAUGUUUGGUAAAACCCCUGUGCUUUACAUGUCUUCGUGCAAGCACAUGCUGAGAUAGGAGUGACCAGCUUUGCUGUGGAUUUUCUUAUAGGAGCUGUCUCAGCUACCUUCUCAAAUACUGUUUCUGCUGUAAUUGAUUUCGGCUGUACUAUUUUGUGAUUUGAUUAGUAACGGGUUUUACUUAAAACCUAUACCAGGUCUUAAACGCAUUCAAGGAUUACUUUAAGAUGCUCUUUAGUUCCAAUAAGGACCGAGGUGUUUAAAUAGUUCACUGGUAACUUCGCAUAUGACGGUGACGCUGGUGUGUUUUUACUACAUUUUACUCACCUAGCCCACUUAUUAUUUUUAUGAUGUGUACUGCCUUUGUCUUCCAUCUGUAUUGCCUUUGCCUUAAACAAUUACAGGUCCCC
Long non-coding RNA from Papaver somniferum (opium poppy), 1407 nucleotides. RefSeq lists it as uncharacterized. The record is from RefSeq and is a predicted model, not a curated record. NCBI's taxonomy places the organism in Eukaryota, Viridiplantae, Streptophyta, Magnoliopsida, Ranunculales, Papaveraceae. The transcript has 5 exons.